RNAcentral lists this ribosomal RNA (666 nucleotides) under Terminalia superba. RNAcentral's name for it is "eukaryotic LSU rRNA". The stretch from base 1 to 94 matches the Rfam family "Eukaryotic small subunit ribosomal RNA", at positions 1738 to 1831 of the family's 1831-position model. The record is from RNAcentral. Lineage: Eukaryota; Viridiplantae; Streptophyta; Magnoliopsida; Myrtales; Combretaceae.
CGACGACGUCGCGAGAGUCCACUGAACCUUAUCAUUUAGAGGAAGGAGAAUUCGUAACAAGGUUUCCGUAGGUGAACCUGCGGAAGGAUCAUUGUCGACACCUGCAAAGCAGAGCGACCCGCGAACCGUCUUUCAAUUCCCGGGACACCGGGGGGCGGCCAGCCGCCCGGUAGCCCGAAAGCUCCGGACGCUGGGGGUGCAACCCACCCCCAGCGAACGGAUCUCCGAACAAACCCCGGCGCGCGAAGCGCCAAGGUACUCUAACGAUACGGCAUGCGCCCGUAGCCCUGGGUUGCACAGAGUGCUCGCGGGUGUGAAUUGCAGAAUCCCGUGAACCAUCGAGUCUUUGAACGCAAGUUGCGCCCGAAGCCUUGGCUGAGGGCACGUCUGCCUGGGUGUCACGCAUCGCGUUGCAUCCAAACCCUUCACCCUUCGGACGUUGCGGUGAUGGUCUGGAUGCGGAAGCUGGCCUCCCGCGGCCGCGAGCCACGGAUGGCCCAAACACGUGCUAGGGGAGCGAAGCGCCACGGCAUUCGGUGGUUGAUCCAAGCCCCAGAAGCCAGUGCCGGCGGUGGCCGCACCCGUCCCUAGCCGACGACCCUAAACGUUAACCAACGCGACCUCAGGUCAGGCGGGGCUACCCGCUGAGUUUAAGCAUAUCAAUAA